Molecule: RNA transcript, 4385 nt
Organism: Mangifera indica (mango)
Lineage: Eukaryota; Viridiplantae; Streptophyta; Magnoliopsida; Sapindales; Anacardiaceae
Gene name: pentatricopeptide repeat-containing protein At4g14170-like
Exons: 4
Source: RefSeq, a predicted model, not a curated record
UAACCUUCAGAAUCAAUCCGAUAUGCAACUGUUAACGUCCAGAGCUAGUGAAGAUGUUAAGCUCCGCCAUAACACUUGCAAGCCUUUGUCCACAACAACUCUUCUUUCCCAACUCGAACCCCAUCAAAGUAAAAUCCAGCUCUUCAUAUUUCUGUCAUAGCAAUCACUCACACAACAUUAGCAAUAAAAGAUUUCAACUAGACUUGCUUCAAUUUUUUCACUCAAAAUCGAGCCUUUGCCUCAACUGUUCCAUCAGCCAGGGAACUUCCAGUGCUGGAGAUAAUAUCCCACAUGACCAGCACUUAAAGGAGAGUAAAGGGUUCUGGGAUUAAUGGAAGGUGAGAGCUUUUUAAGCUGAACUACAAGCUCAAUCAUCAAUUCUUUUUUUUUUCUUUCUUUAUAUGUAGUUUUGUUAAGAAAAGAAAAGAACCCACCUGGCUGAUGAGAAAAUUACUGAGAGAAAAGGAAGAAGGGGGAACUUUUCGCAUUGUGACUUGAAUUUUUUGACCACUUAACUCAACUCAGAUGGCCCUUGUAUCUGCAUAGGAAAUUAUAUAUUCGAACCCCAUUGCAAAGUAAAACUAUUGGUGAUAUACAAACUCCAAAAGGCCUUUGCUUUGCUAUCUUUCGAUGUUGUUACAGAACAAUGCAUUUAACAUUCUUCAUGUGCAUAGACAUCAAGUAGCUUCAAGAAUCUUAAGCAAAUAUCACUUUCUGUUGAGAAAGACUCACUGUACCUAUCACUCAUCAACCAACCACACCCAUGUGAAUCUCCUCACAAUUGCCUCAAACUCCAAAUCUCUGCGCCAAACUAAACAAGUCCAUGCCUUUGCACUCCACAAUGGAUUUCUUCCUAGAAGUGUUUCUCUCUGUGCCUCUUUGAUCCUCCGCUAUGCUGCUUUCCAAGAAUCCAAUGCUUGUUUCCUUCUCUUUGAACAGACUAUUAGUUAUUGCCACACUGCAUUUCUGUGGAAUACUUUCAUUCGGGCUCUAUUGGUUGCCCGUGUUCAUGAUGGUUUUGUUACCUAUAAUCGAAUGGUUAGGACCAGAGUUCCGCUUGAUAACCAUACCUUCCCUUUUGUUCUCAAGGCAUGUGCUGAUAAUUUGGAACUCCAAAAGGGUAUGGAGAUUCAUGGGCAUCUGUUCAAACUUGGUUUUGAAAUGGAUGUUUUUGUGGGUAAUACCCUGUUGUUGUUUUAUGGUAAUUGUGGGCUUUUGGAAAAUGUUAGGAGUGUGUUUGAUGAAAUGCGUGAGAGAGAUAUUGUUUCCUGGAAUACAAUUAUAGGAUUACUUUCGGUUAAUGGCUGCUAUGUGGAGGCGCUUGAUUUAUAUUGUGAUAUGAUUUUAAGGUCUGGGUUUAAACCAAACUCAGUUACUAUUGUUAGUAUCUUGCCAGUUUGCGGGAGCCUUGCAAAUGAGGUCAUGGCAAGGCAGAUUCAUUGUUUUGUUGUGAAGGUUGGGUUGGGUGUUCAGGCGACUAUUAGUAAUGCACUGGUUGAUGUGUAUGGUAAAUGUGGAAAUAUGAUGGCUUCAAGGCAAGUUUUUGAUGAAAUGGUAGAGAGGAACGAAGUUUCCUGGAAUGCCGUAAUUGCUAGUCUUGCUCAUACAGGGUGUAACAAGGAUGCAUUAGAUAUGUUUAGGCUGAUGAUUUGUGCUGGGCUGACACCAAACUCUAUUGCUAUAUCUAUUAUUUUACCUGUGUUGGUUGAAGAAGAAUUAUUUGGGUUAGGAAAGGAAAUCCAUGGGUUCUGUUUAAGAAUGGGCAUUGAAUCUGAUGUGUUUGUUGCCAACUCAAUGAUUGAUAUGUAUGCAAAAUCAGGCCAUCAAUCUGAAGCUUCCUCUCUGUUUCACAAUAUGCUUGUAAAGAAUGUUGUUACUUGGAAUGCCAUGAUUGCUAAUUUCACUCAAAACGGGCAAGAGUUAGCGGCUCUAGAGCUAUUAAGAGCAAUGUCAGUACAUAACGAGAUACCUAAUUCUGUCACUUUGACGAAUGUUCUUCCAGCUUGUGUACGAGUUGGUUUCCUUCGUCCAGGAAAAGAAAUCCAUGCAGUGACCAUCCGUAUGGGGUUCAACCUUGAUCUGUUUGUCACCAAUGCUCUGACAGACGUGUAUGCAAAAUGUGGCCGCUUAGAUCUGGCUCAAAGUGUUUUUGACAUAUCCUGUAGGGAUGAAAUAUCUUAUAAUAUAUUAAUAGUAAGCUAUGCUCAAACAAGUGAUUGCUCAAAAUCCUUGAGUUUAUUCUCAGAAAUGGGUCUCAAGGGUAUGAUGCAUGAUGUGGUUUCCUUUGUGGGUGCUAUAUCAGCUUGUGGAAAAUUAGCUGCAACCAAGCAAGGGAAAGAGAUCCAUGCAGUCGUGACGAGAAAGCUUUUUCACACACACCUCUUUGUUGCUAAUUCACUUUUGGACUUUUAUUCCAGAUGUGGACGGAUUGAUAUAGCUGACAAGAUCUUUGUCAGGAUUCCAAAUAAAGAUGCAGCCUCGUGGAAUACUAUGAUUUUGGGUUAUGGAAUGCUUGGUGAUUUGGACAUGGCUAUCGAUCUCUUCGAAAAUAUGAGGGAACGUGGAGUGCAAUAUGAUUCAGUUUCAUAUAUUGCAGUUUUGUCAGCCUGUAGCCAUGGAGGAUUUGUUGAAAAAGGGAGGAAAUACUUUGAGGAAAUGCAAGCUCAGAAUAUUAAGCCGACACAAAUGCACUAUGCUUGUAUGGUUGAUCUCCUUGGACGAGCUGGCCUUAUGGAAGAUGUAGUGGAACUUAUAAAAAAUUUGCCCAUCAUACCGGAGUCCAAUAUAUGGGGUGCUUUGCUUGGGGCAUGCCGAAUCCAUGGUAAUAUAGAGUUGGGGUCUUGGGCAGCUGAGCAUUUGCUUAAGUUGAAACCUGAACAUUGUGGGUAUUAUAUUCUUCUUUCAAACAUGUAUGCAGAAGCUGGGAAAUGGGAUGAGGCAAACAAGAUUAGGGAAUUGAUGAAGUCGAGAGGGGCAAAGAAAAAUCCUGGUUACAGUUGGGUUCAAACAGGGGACCAGGUACAAGCAUUUGUAGUUGGAGAGUUAAUGGAGAACUCCACUCCAGGUCUUUGGCAUGAAGAACACGGUUAAAUUUGUUAAAGAAAUCUGAGUUUUAUGGUUGUUUGCUGACGUACAAGUCUUGGCAGCAUCAAAAGUGAACCAGAAAAUUGAAUAGCAGAAAUUUUUUAAGUAUCCAGAAGACGAAAAGGAGAUGAAUUGCAUCGAACUUUUGCAUAGUAGGCUAACUCAGCUGAAAUCAAUUCAAAGCUUGCAAAGCUUGGGCUUGCUCCAUUGCUAGUAGCUAAAUGGUUGUUUGAUGGCGUUACAUAUACCGCUUUCUUUGUCUUGGCAUUCCUCGGCUAUGACAAAAGUUCUAGCAAGAACCCGGCCGCUAAUCUCCAGGCACUUUUAGGGGAACGACGUAACCAGGCCAUUGGAGUUGCCGGAGCAGCAGCACUGGCUUCACUUGUCGACAAAGGUUUGAGGAGGAUCCAAAACUAUUUCAGGUUUCCAAAUCUUGUCUAUGCAUUUGCCCCUGUUGUCUCCAUAGUUGGUGCUUCAUGUUUAACAGUCGUUGGCUUGGUCAUCCUUUCCAGACGUUGAAAAAAUUCUCUCAUCAAAGAGCUAAAAAUGAAGUGAAAGCUCCUUUUCUUGUGCUUGUGCUCGUAAAUAUUUUAGAAAUUGUGUCAUUUGAUUCUAAUAUUUUCUGGCUGUUCUUUUGAAUAUAGAAGGAAAACUGUUGCUUAAUCAAUGUUUUUAGACACACAAUUUUAGAAAUUGUGUUAAUAACAUGUUUCCACAUAAAUAAUAUUAGAAAGAACAUCUAAGAUAGAAUAACAUCACUGCAUAAAAGCUACCCAUUUUCAUGUACAGCAAACAAAAUCCCUGGCAUGUCAUGCCAUUUUGAUCAAACUAUGAAAUCACCAGUUCAUAUGAUACUCAGCUGCUGUUCUACUUUUUUGAAAAUCUGGUGUCAUACUACUGUAAAUCGCCUUUAAAGGAGAUUAUUCUUGAAUGCAAGUAUCAUUUUUUUGCAACUGAAGCAAAAAGAAUGCUAAUACAGAACCGAAGAACAUUUUGAUAGCAUAUCUCACAAAGUCAUUGUCAUCUUCAUUGGAGAUAUUCUUUGAGGAAGAUAGAGCAGUUGCUGAAGGAAAGGCUUCUAGUACUGCAUCUGCCAGAUCAGUGAUGAAGGAAGGCAUGCAGUUGAGGGCGGGUACAUGUCCCCAGUGUUGAAUGCCGGAUUCAAGAGCCUUCAUGUCAAUCUCUUCAAGUGUUUCAAUGUGCUCACUCAUAAAACUGCAAUAGUAAAUUCUCCUUAGAUAGCCAUUUUAGUGCUUGUAUCGACACAUGAAAUUGCUAUUUUUGUAACUAGUCAUUAGUCA